UACGUAGGGGGCGAGCGUUGGUCGGAAUUACUGGGCGUAAAGGGCGCGUAGGCGGCCUUCUAAGUCGGACGUGAAAUCCCCAGGCUUAACUUGGGAACUGCGUCCGAUACUGGAGGGCUUGAGUGCGGGAGAGGGAUGUGGAAUUCCAGGUGUAGCGGUGAAAUGCGUAGAUAUCUGGAGGAACACCGGUGGCGAAGGCGGCAUCCUGGACCGACACUGACGCUGAUGCGCGAAAGCCAGGGGAGCAAACGGG
This 253-nucleotide ribosomal RNA is filed under the name uncultured bacterium. Its description in RNAcentral is "partial 16S ribosomal RNA". It matches the Rfam family "Bacterial small subunit ribosomal RNA", at positions 524 to 776 of the family's 1533-position model. The record is from RNAcentral.